Molecule: ribosomal RNA, 585 nt
Filed under: uncultured bacterium
Lineage: Bacteria
Description: partial 16S ribosomal RNA
Rfam family: Bacterial small subunit ribosomal RNA
Source: RNAcentral
UGGGGAAUUUUGGACAAUGGGCGAAAGCCUGAUCCAGCAAUGCCGCGUGUGUGAAGAAGGCCUUCGGGUUGUAAAGCACUUUUGUCCGGAAAGAAAUCCUUGGCUCUAAUACAGUCGGGGGAUGACGGUACCGGAAGAAUAAGCACCGGCUAACUACGUGCCAGCAGCCGCGGUAAUACGUAGGGUGCAAGCGUUAAUCGGAAUUACUGGGCGUAAAGCGUGCGCAGGCGGUUUGCUAAGACCGAUGUGAAAUCCCCGGGCUCAACCUGGGAACUGCAUUGGUGACUGGCAGGCUAGAGUAUGGCAGAGGGGGGUAGAAUUCCACGUGUAGCAGUGAAAUGCGUAGAGAUGUGGAGGAAUACCGAUGGCGAAGGCAGCCCCCUGGGCCAAUACUGACGCUCAUGCACGAAAGCGUGGGGAGCAAACAGGAUUAGAUACCCUAGUAGUCCACGCCCUAAACGAUGUCAACUAGUUGUUGGGGAUUCAUUUCCUUAGUAACGUAGCUAACGCGUGAAGUUGACCGCCUGGGGAGUACGGUCGCAAGAUUAAAACUCAAAGGAAUUGACGGGGUCAUAGCUGUUUCCU